RNAcentral lists this ribosomal RNA (240 nucleotides) under uncultured bacterium. RNAcentral's name for it is "partial 16S ribosomal RNA". It matches the Rfam family "Bacterial small subunit ribosomal RNA", at positions 524 to 763 of the family's 1533-position model. The record is from RNAcentral.
UACGUAGGGGGCAAGCGUUAUCCGGAUUUACUGGGUGUAAAGGGAGCGUAGACGGUAAUGCAAGUCUGGAGUGAAAGGCGGGGGCCCAACCCCCGGACUGCUCUGGAAACUGUGAUACUGGAGUGCAGGAGAGGUAAGUGGAAUUCCUAGUGUAGCGGUGAAAUGCGUAGAUAUUAGGAGGAACACCAGUGGCGAAGGCGGCUUACUGGACUGUAACUGACGUUGAGGCUCGAAAGCGUG